This 841-nucleotide long non-coding RNA is filed under the name Ficedula albicollis (Collared flycatcher). RNAcentral describes it as "lncRNA (ENSFALG00000027349.1)". Lineage: Eukaryota; Metazoa; Chordata; Aves; Passeriformes; Muscicapidae. The record is from RNAcentral.
CCUCCUCCCCUCAGGGUCCUGGAUUUUCCUCUCUGCAGUCCCAGGGAAGGGAGAAAAUGAUAAAAAAUCCCAAAAUGCUGUUGUCCUUCCCCCUCUGGUGGUUCCCUUCAGAUGUGUCGACCCCUUCAUUUCCAUUUAUUUUAGCAGGAUGGCAAAACACCGAGAAAUAAAUGAAGUGGCAUGAGAUGCUGGUGGGGGCUCCAGAAUACAUAAAAAUAAAGGGGAAAAUAGCAGGAGGGAUCCGUGCUGGAAAACGUGAUGGCGUUUAUUCCCACCAUCACGGCCAGUCCUCUCCUCUGGGUGCCCAGAGCCCGGCCAUGGAGCCCUGUGUGGUGCUGGACCCGCGACAGAGAGCUCUGUAUCGCGACGUGAUGCAGCAUGGCUACGAGAUCCUGGUGGCCCUGGAAUUUUCUGUUCCCAAGCCUGACCUGCUGUCUUACCUGGACUGUGAGGAGGAAGUGACAGCCCUGGAUCUUCAUGUAUCCCGGGAUACCCCGGCCGCAGAGCAUGGAGCAGGAGCAGGGCAGGAAGAACCUGCUGAGGAAAAGCCCAACACGGACAAGGAGCACGCUCAGCUCCCAGUGAGCCAGGGCGAGACCCGCGCUGCCAACACCUGCAGCGAGCGCGGGAAGACCUUCAGCCACAAACCAGCCCCGGUGAAGCACCGGGAAAUCCACAGCGGCGACCGGGACUGCGGGAAGGGCUUCACGCAGCGCUCUGGCCUCCGCGUCCACGGGCGCGCGCACACGGGCGAGCGGCCCCACGGCUGCCCCCCCCCCCCCCCCCCCCCCCCCCCCCCCCCCCCCCCCCCCCCCCCCCCCCCCCCCCCCCCCCCCCCCCC